GGAGUUGUGGCUCAGUGGUGGAGUGCUCACCUAGCAAGGGUGAGGCACUGGGUUUGAUCCUCAGCACCA
Molecule: transfer RNA, 69 nt
Filed under: Marmota monax (woodchuck)
Lineage: Eukaryota; Metazoa; Chordata; Mammalia; Rodentia; Sciuridae
Description: tRNA.Ala
Source: RNAcentral